AUGCUCUUGCAAGCUCAGGCAGUCUACCAUCUCUUAAGUGUUCAGAAGUAUGUCAUGGAUGAAUGCAGGAAAUGGAAUCUUGUCUGGAUUGGAAAGAACAAGGUUGCGCCUUUGGAGCCCCAUGAGAUGGAGUAUCUACUUGGUUUCCCAAGAGACCACACGAGGGGAGUCUGCAAGAUGGAGAGGUACAAAGCUCUUGGGAACUCAUUUCAAGUGGAUACAGUUGCUUAUCACCUGUCAGUGUUGAUGGACAUGUUUCCUGAUGGUAUAAAUGUGCUGUCCUUAUUCACCGGUAUUGGGGGAGGAGAAGUAGCCCUGCACAAGCUUGGGGUCCACAUGAAGACAGUGGUUUCUGUUGAGAUUUCUGAAGUGAACAGGAGGAUUUUCAGAGGUUGGUGGAAUCAGAAUCAAACGGGUGGCAGUCUGAUUGAGAUUCCAGGCAUGGAGACUCUCACUAAUGAUACAAUCGAGUCAUUGACUAGAAGAUUGGGUGGUUUUGACUUGAUAAUUGGAGGCAGCCCAUGCAACAAUCUUACCGGCAGCAACCGGCACCACCGUGAUGGUUUACAGGGCGAGCAAUCUGCUCUGUUCUACGAGUACUCGAGAAUACUGAAUGUUGUCAAGUCCGUUAUGGCGAGGAUGUAG
Molecule: ribosomal RNA, 645 nt
Filed under: Triticum aestivum (bread wheat)
Lineage: Eukaryota; Viridiplantae; Streptophyta; Magnoliopsida; Poales; Poaceae
Description: partial small subunit ribosomal RNA
Source: RNAcentral